UUUUUUGUUUUUUUGGUUUUUUUUUGCUUUAUUGAGGUAUAACUGAUACACAAAAUCUUGUACACAUUUAAGGUAUACAUUCUGGUGAGCCCAGAGUUAGUUUGGAAAGGUUGUUUUAUCUCAUUUUUUUUUAAACAGUGGAACUUAGAAUACUUACUUAGGGUUUCUUUAGGAAAAAUGAAUGGUAUGGCUGGAAGCAGUUGUUUCCACCUCAACUUUUAUAUAGACUGCAGGAGACUGGACUUGAGGGUUUGUAAUAAAGUUCUGCCUCACUUUGGUGAGGUGGCUUCUGUCAUUCAGGUCACACCGUGCACUGCACAAUCAAGACACAGGAGCCUACACAGUUCUGGAAUAACAUGCAGGCAUGAAAAGGUGCAGCCCUGAGGCUUAUAUUCUACAAAUGAACAUGAAGGAUGAGUAGGUGUGUCAGUGGUGUGCACAUACCUGUGUAUCCAUAAGCGUGUCCACUCUCAACACCACUAGGAUCCUUAUAUCACUUCCCAAAGACCCCUGCUGCUGGAUAACACAUCAAAACUAAAUAUAGUCAGUGCUUUUUACUGACUCUAAAGCUCAAUAUACACAUUUGUAGGUAUUAUAAUGAGAGAGCCAACUAUGUUUAAAAGAAAAAGAAUCUGAGGUGGUUUCUAACUAAAGAUACACACUACAAGGCUAUAAAAAUAAAUAUAAAAUUCAUGAAGUGAUAUAAAAAGAGGUGGGAGAAAACUCAAUACAAAGUCAAGAUAAUUAUUUAUUUUGGUUGAACAUUAUAAUCGGCCUUAGGUUUUUGACAGUCAACAUAGAAAGGGAAACGUGAUAUGAUGCGUUAUGUAAUUUACAGGUUACUUGUCCACAGAUUGAGUUCAUGCUCUAAGAUGACACUAAACCAUGAGGUCAUUGAUCUUGACUGAGGGCCUCUCUGAGAGAGUGCAAUUCUCUCUUCUAUUUUAAGAGGAAAAGAUACCCUUUCUGGAAAAUCUGGAGAAAAAAAUGUUUAAAAAGAAAAUAAUAGUUCCUUGUAAUUGCAUUGUCCUGAGAUAAACGAUGUGAGGAUUUGGAGUAUUUUCUUCCAGUCUCUUUACAGUUUUAAAAAUAUAUAAAAUGACAUAUAGUGAUAUUUUCCUAUUUUGUUCUACUAAUGUUAUAUCUUAAAAGUUUUUCCAUGCCACCAAAAACUCUUUACACACAUACCAUAUUUAACAGCUCUACAUUCCAUGGAAUGGAUAAGCCACAUUCAUUGAGCCAAUCUCAUGAUUUGGUGCACUUUGAUUCUUUGAUAAUAUUUAAAUAAACCAAAUGUCUGUUAUUAAUAUCUUUGUAUAUAAAUGAGUUCCCAUAUUUCUGAUGACCCCUUCAUGAUACAUUUCUAGAAGCUGAAUUCCUAGGUCAAAGCAUAUCCACCUAUUUCAAGGCUCUUGAUUUAUAAUGGACUAGUUAUUUUCCAGAAAAUCUGUGCCUCUCCUGAGUAGCACAUGACAUUCUACUUCACUGCCCCCUUUCUUGGACCAUCAUUUUAGAAUGUUUGUUAGUUUGAUAGGGCAAAUGAUGUCCUUCUGCUCUUUCAAUCUGCAUUUUGUUCAAUACCAAGGAGGGCUGGACAUUGUAUCAUAUGCUGAUUUGCCAUUUGCAUUUCCUCUUCAGAGAUUUGUUUGUCCUUUACCUGGGUAUCUAUUUUGGGUCUUAAUGUUUUUCUUAUUGAUUUGUAUGCAUUCUUUAUAUAUGAGGAAUAUUAAUAUUUUUUCUCCAACAUAUUGGUUUCAAACAUUUCCCAGCUUGAUGCUUGUCUGUUGAUUUUACUCAUGAGAUAACAUUAUAAAGAGAAAUUUUAAAAUGUUAUCAAGUCUAACCUAUUGAUUGAUUCCACCAUGAUUUCUUUCAAUACAUUUACUUUAAGCCGUUCUAGCAAAGAGCUUGAAUAAAAUAUUCCUGUCCUAGGGAACUAUGGUAGAAUGUCAUAGAGACAUUUGUUUUUCCUUCUGCUUACCUGUUUUAAAACAAGAAGUUGCAAAUCAAAAUGUAAUCAUCAGUCAGCUGCAAAGGUGAGGUUGAGGGGAAAGUGAAAGGUGACUACUGGGUGUUCUUGAUAGAAACCAAACAAGCAACCUGGCGGGCGGGGCGGGGAGUGGGGGGCAAUCAAUGCAGCUAGAACAUUCAGCAUGAGGCAUCUUCCCAGACAGGCUCCUUUAAAGAACUGGGCAGCUCAAAGUGCCCACCUGAAACAGUAAUCCUUGCUUGAAGAGAAGUUAGAAAAUUUUCUAACUUUUCUCCAAUUCCUCUGCUCUUUUCCACUGUCCUAGAGACCAGGGACCCCAGUGUCUGGUACCAUUUAUUUAUUUAUACAACAAAUAUUCAUUGCAUCUUGGUUUUGUUCAAGAUACUCCAUGAAGCAUCAUAAACCAUGUAAUGAUGCAAGUUUUCAUUUCUCCAUUUUCUUUCUGUUUUCAGAAAAUGGUCUGACUUAUGAAAAUGUAACUACCUAUAGGUCCAGUCCAAUUCUGGAAGACUUCUAGUCCUGGCCCUAUACUUCUGGGUUUGGUCUUUCUCAGUGACUAAGUAGGUAGCCCAAAGGCAAAAGGGCUGAAAAUUACUUCAGGAGCUAACAG
RNAcentral lists this long non-coding RNA (2600 nucleotides) under Macaca fascicularis (crab-eating macaque). RNAcentral's name for it is "lncRNA (ENSMFAG00000064225.1)". The record is from RNAcentral. Lineage: Eukaryota; Metazoa; Chordata; Mammalia; Primates; Cercopithecidae.